CAUGGUAAAUCAAGAGUAUUGAUAAGAUUGAAUCUGAUGUGACGGUUUUCUUUAAUAGUAUAAAUAAAUAAAUAAUUAUAAAGUGAGCUUCUUUGAAACUGAAAUUUUAGAGCAAUGAGGCUUGUAUUUUUUAGGCGAAAGUGUAAUCUCCACGACAUGUUUAAAGUAUAUAAAGGCCUUGAGUCUUUUGAGAAAGACUUCGCUUAUGCAAACUUUGGGGAAUCAUCACUUCAUUCUUUGAGUUUCUUGCCUUUUUGGUGUUUGUCUCAUCUUCUUCCAAAGUUCAUCAAUUUCCUUCUUUUUUUCUUGAUACGUUAGCUAGCAGGUUUGACUGGUAUAACUUUCUCCAAGAGUUGGAUAGAGAGGACGCCCUAUCCAUAAAAAGGCAAAAUGUUGGUGGUGGGGUUGACAUUGCUGCCAUGCAAUCAAGACAACGCCAACUCCUACUCUAACAACCACUCUAAUGGUUGUUGUUAUGUUAACUGUUGCAGCCCCUUAUGCCCUUACUAUGCUUAUUUCAACUAUGCUUAUUUCUUUAUCACUGUUCCUUAUGCCCUACACUAGCUAUUGACACUCCUCCUUCAACUAUGCUUAUUUCUCUAUCAUUGUCCCUUGUGACUGUCUUUGCGACGAACCAACUUGGAGGCGCUACUAAUGAUACUGCUUCCACAGAGGCCUUUUCUGUAGUUUAAGGGUCAUAAUGUUAAAAAGAAGAUACGGAGGUUCAGAAAAAGUCAUUUUGUGAUGUCUCCAUCAGGAGUAUUCCCAUGACGUAGUCAUUUGUUUAUUGAUAAGUUUCCACGAAUUUUCCAUAUUUAGUUAUUUAGGGAAACCAUUAAACAAAUGUGUUAAAAUGUGAACAUGAUUAAAAAGAGCAGCUUGAGUAAAAAAAAGUUAACGAGUCAAUUUUAUUCUUGAAUACUUGAUGUGAAGAAUUUAUUGUUGCAUUUACUAAAUUUGUUGAUUUAAA
Molecule: long non-coding RNA, 970 nt
Organism: Gossypium arboreum
Lineage: Eukaryota; Viridiplantae; Streptophyta; Magnoliopsida; Malvales; Malvaceae
Exons: 2
Source: RefSeq, a predicted model, not a curated record